Molecule: ribosomal RNA, 253 nt
Filed under: uncultured bacterium
Lineage: Bacteria
Description: partial 16S ribosomal RNA
Rfam family: Bacterial small subunit ribosomal RNA
Source: RNAcentral
UACGUAGGUGGCAAGCGUUGUCCGGAUUUAUUGGGUUUAAAGGGUGCGUAGGCGGUCCUUUAAGUCAGUUGUGAAAUACGGCAGCUUAACUGUCGAGGUGCAAUUGAUACUGAGGGACUUGAGUACUGAUGAGGUAGGCGGAAUGGACGGUGUAGCGGUGAAAUGCUUAGAGAUCGUCCAGAACACCGAUAGCGAAGGCAGCUUACUAAAGAGUAACUGACGCUGAGGCACGAAAGUGUGGGGAUCAAACAGG